This 372-nucleotide ribosomal RNA is filed under the name Triticum aestivum (bread wheat). RNAcentral's name for it is "partial small subunit ribosomal RNA". Lineage: Eukaryota; Viridiplantae; Streptophyta; Magnoliopsida; Poales; Poaceae. The record is from RNAcentral.
AUGAACUGCCUCAGCAAGUUCACUGUCAACUUGGUCAGACACAGCUUGGCGACAGUCACAAACGAACUGCUUUCAUUCCCCUAUUUUGUUCAUGGUGGGUUCAUGGAUUCCAUUCGUAUUGGUGGUGUUGUGAUACCUAACCACAAGAGGGUGGAGUACGCACUGCAAUCCAUCCAUGGCAUUGGCCGGGCACGCGUCCGUCAGAUCCUUUCAGAGCUCAGUUUGGAGAACAAGCUCACCAAAGACCUCUCCAAAGAGGAGAUCAUCACCCUCCGUGAGGGGAUCGCAAAGUACAUGAUUGAAACAGACCUAGUAAGUAAUUCCCAUGGUCCUUUUGCCAAUCUGAUUUGUCCUGUGCAUGUUGUUGUGUAA